This 207-nucleotide small nucleolar RNA is filed under the name Marmota monax (woodchuck). Lineage: Eukaryota; Metazoa; Chordata; Mammalia; Rodentia; Sciuridae. The record is from RNAcentral.
GUCUCAAAAUUUAAAAGAGGGAGGGUCUGGGGAUGUGGCUCAGUGGUUAAGGGCAUCUGGACUCAAUCCUUCAAUCCCCAGUAGGAAGAAGAAAGGGGGAGGGAGAGUAGAGAGAAAUUUUAUUUUAUUUUCACUUCUGUUUUCUUCCUUCCCUUCCCUUCUCUCUCUUCCUUCCUUGCUCCAUAAUUGGGCAUUGAUCCAGGGGCA